UGGAGCUGCAGGAGGAAGAAGAGGAGGACCAUGAGAACAACAACCAGGAGGUGUUCAGUCUGGAGCUGCAGCGAGGAGAGCGGGGCAUCGGGCUGGCCCUGGUCGACACGUGGGACGCACCGGUGAAAACGAGUGGCCUCUUCAUCAGUGCGGUGCUUCCAGACUCCCCGGCUGCUCGCACUGAGAGGCUGGCCCCUGGAGACAGGAUCCUGGCCGUCAACGGAGUCAGUCUGCUGGGAGUGGACUACCAUGGUGGGAAGGAGCUGAUCCAAACAUCAGGUGAAAGGGUGAGGCUGCUGGUGGCCCGGGCUGAGCGGAGGACCAAAGCUUUGCACACUCAGAACUGAUGUAUGUGGAGAUAGGACAGGCAGC
This is a long non-coding RNA of Periophthalmus magnuspinnatus, 372 nucleotides long. RefSeq lists it as uncharacterized. The transcript is spliced from 3 exons. Lineage: Eukaryota; Metazoa; Chordata; Actinopteri; Gobiiformes; Gobiidae. The record is from RefSeq and is a predicted model, not a curated record.